RNAcentral lists this ribosomal RNA (301 nucleotides) under uncultured bacterium. RNAcentral's name for it is "partial 16S ribosomal RNA". It matches the Rfam family "Bacterial small subunit ribosomal RNA", at positions 509 to 807 of the family's 1533-position model. The record is from RNAcentral.
CAGUCGCCACGGUAAUACGAAGGGGGCUAGCGUUGUUCGGAAUUACUGGGCGUAAAGGGCGCGUAGGCGGCCAUUCAAGUUAGAUGUGAAAGCCCUGGGCUCAACCUAGGAAUUGCAUUUGAUACUGUUUGGCUUGAGUUCGGGAGAGGUGAGUGGAAUUCCCAGUGUAGAGGUGAAAUUCGUAGAUAUUGGGAAGAACACCAGUGGCGAAGGCGGCUCACUGGACCGACACUGACGCUGAGGCGCGAAAGCGUGGGGAGCAAACAGGAUUAGAUACCCCUGUAGUCCCUGUCUCUUAUAC